Molecule: long non-coding RNA, 603 nt
Organism: Populus euphratica (Euphrates poplar)
Lineage: Eukaryota; Viridiplantae; Streptophyta; Magnoliopsida; Malpighiales; Salicaceae
Exons: 3
Source: RefSeq, a predicted model, not a curated record
AUCUUCUUUCUUCUUCUCUGCUGUUCUGCUGGUUAUGAAGAGAGUGAGAGGGAGAAGGUGUGGUAUAUAUAUUAUAUGGGAAGAAGGUGGGGGGUGGAGGAGGAGGUAGUUGCUUGGAAAGCGAGAAGGGUUCAGUGCUGCGGUGUGUGUGUGUGCAGUGUGAUAAAAGUUCAAAGAUUCAACGCGUCAGGAGUUUGACUGACUUGGUCCAAAUGAGACCGCUUUCAUUAUUAUUUUUUUAUUCAUCUUUAAUAAAUUCCAAGUGGGUUCACUUGGAGAGUUCGGAUUUUGGACCAUUUUCAAUGUACCAGGUGGGUAUUUUAGAUUGAGAAAACUACGUCGGCAGUGUUGUCGUGGGAGCAGAGAGAGAGAGACAGCAACAGAGAGGAUACGUAGAUCGCGAUGAAGCAGCCAGCUGCGUUCACUUUCUUCUUCCUGGUGGUGUCUUCCAUGGCUUUUGAUGCUUGCCUGGGUUUCUCGGACAUUUUCUUGCAGGUGGCUAGUUACUGGUUUCAACAUCACCUCUUUGUUUUAUAAUAACACUCCACUUGGCUUUGACAUGGAACUUGCACCAAAUUUACUAGGCUAUUAAUAAUUAAAAUA